This 662-nucleotide ribosomal RNA is filed under the name uncultured bacterium. Its description in RNAcentral is "bacterial SSU rRNA". It matches the Rfam family "Bacterial small subunit ribosomal RNA", at positions 91 to 749 of the family's 1533-position model. The record is from RNAcentral.
GCGAGUGGCGAACGGGUGAGUAAAGUAUCGGAACGUACCUUUCAGUGGGGGAUAAUGUAGCGAAAGUUACGCUAAUACCGCAUAUUCUGUGAGCAGGAAAGCAGGGGAUCGCAAGACCUUGCGCUGAUUGAGCGGCCGAUAUCAGAUUAGCUAGUUGGUGGGGUAAAGGCCUACCAAGGCGACGAUCUGUAGCGGGUCUGAGAGGAUGAUCCGCCACACUGGGACUGAGACACGGCCCAGACUCCUACGGGAGGCAGCAGUGGGGAAUUUUGGACAAUGGGCGCAAGCCUGAUCCAGCCAUGCCGCGUGAGUGAAGAAGGCCUUCGGGUUGUAAAGCUCUUUCGGCCGGGAAGAAAUCGCAUGGGCUAAUACCCUGUGUGGAUGACGGUACCGGAAUAAGAAGCACCGGCUAACUACGUGCCAGCAGCCGCGGUAAUACGUAGGGUGCGAGCGUUAAUCGGAAUUACUGGGCGUAAAGCGUGCGCAGGCGGUUUUUUAAGAUAGGCGUGAAAUCCCCGGGCUCAACCUGGGAACUGCGCUUAUGACUGGAAGACUAGAGUAUGGCAGAGGGGGGUGGAAUUCCACGUGUAGCAGUGAAAUGCGUAGAGAUGUGGAGGAACACCGAUGGCGAAGGCAGCCCCCUGGGCCAAUACUGACGCUCA